Molecule: non-coding RNA, 190 nt
Organism: Fukomys damarensis (Damara mole-rat)
Lineage: Eukaryota; Metazoa; Chordata; Mammalia; Rodentia; Bathyergidae
Source: Rfam
ACCCCUUCUCGGCCUUUUGGCUAAGAUCAAGUGUAAAAUGUAUUUAAAAUGCUAAUUAUUUUUUUGUUUACUAAAGUAAUAUGAAAUAUAAAAUAUUUAUAUUACACGUUUUAUAAUUAUAAAAAUGACCUGGACUAGGGAUUUAGCUCAGUGGUGCUGCCGCCUGCCUCACAAGUGCAAGGUCCCGAGU